RNAcentral lists this ribosomal RNA (286 nucleotides) under uncultured bacterium. RNAcentral's name for it is "partial 16S ribosomal RNA". It matches the Rfam family "Bacterial small subunit ribosomal RNA", at positions 28 to 309 of the family's 1533-position model. The record is from RNAcentral.
GACAAACGCUGGCGGGGUGCGUGAGACAUGCAAGUCGAACGAGGUGCCAUCGGGCUUGCUCGAUGGCUACCUCGUGGCGGACGGCUGAGUAACGCGUAGGUGACCUACCCGGAAGUGGGGAAUAACUGCCCGAAAGGGUGGCUAAUACCGCAUACGGUCGACGAUUCGUUUCGUCGUCCAAAGGAGUAAUCCGCUUCCGGCGGGGCCUGCGUCCGAUUAGCUAGUUGGUGGGGUAACGGCUCACCAAGGCGACGAUCGGUAGCUGGUCUGAGGAGGAUGAUCAGCC